This 464-nucleotide ribosomal RNA is filed under the name uncultured bacterium. Its description in RNAcentral is "partial 16S ribosomal RNA". It matches the Rfam family "Bacterial small subunit ribosomal RNA", at positions 339 to 795 of the family's 1533-position model. The record is from RNAcentral.
CUACGGGGGGCACCAGUGGGGAAUAUUGCACAAUGGGCGCAAGCCUGAUGCAGCCAUGCCGCGUGUAUGAAGAAGGCCUUCGGGUUGUAAAGUACUUUCAGCGGGGAGGAAGGGAGUAAAGUUAAUACCUUUGCUCAUUGACGUUACCCGCAGAAGAAGCACCGGCUAACUCCGUGCCAGCAGCCGCUGUAAUACGGAGGGUGCAAGCGUUAAUCGGAAUUACUGGGCGUAAAGCGCACGCAGGCGGUUUGUUAAGUCAGAUGUGAAAUCCCCGGGCUCAACCUGGGAACUGCAUCUGAUACUGGCAAGCUUGAGUGUCGUAGAGGGGGGUAGAAUUCCAGGUGUAGCGGUGAGAUGCGUAGAGAUCUGGAGGAAUACCGGUGGCGAAGGCGGCCCCCUGGACGAAGACUGACGCUCAGGUGCGAAAGCGUGGGGAGCAAACAGGAUUAGAUACCCUCGUAGUC